CCUACGGGAGGCAGCAGUGGGGAAUAUUGCACAAUGGGGGCAACCCUGAUGCAGCAACGCCGCGUGAGUGAAGAAGUAAUUCGUUAUGUAAAGCUCUAUCAGCAGGGAAGAAAAUGACGAUGCCUGCGUAAGAAGCCGCGUCGAACUACGUGCCAGCAGCCGCGGUAAUACGUAGGGGGCAAGCGUUAUCCGGAUUUACUGGGUGGAAAGGGAGCGUAGACGGCAGGGCAAGUCUGGAGUGAAAGGCGGGGGCUCAACCCCCGGACUGCUUUGGAAACUGUAUGGCUGGAGUGCAGGAGAGGCAAGUGGAAUUCCUAGUGUAGCGGUGAAAUGCGUAGAUAUUAGGAGGAACACCAGUGGCGAAGGCGGUUUACUGGACUGUAACUGACGCUGAGGCUCGAAAGCGUGGGGAGCAAACAGGAUUAGAUACCCCAGUAGUC
This 440-nucleotide ribosomal RNA is filed under the name uncultured bacterium. RNAcentral's name for it is "partial 16S ribosomal RNA". It matches the Rfam family "Bacterial small subunit ribosomal RNA", at positions 338 to 795 of the family's 1533-position model. The record is from RNAcentral.